Molecule: long non-coding RNA, 733 nt
Filed under: Malus domestica (apple)
Lineage: Eukaryota; Viridiplantae; Streptophyta; Magnoliopsida; Rosales; Rosaceae
Description: long non-coding RNA (MDOM_LNC002830)
Source: RNAcentral
UUUGUGAAUAGUGGUCAGCCAUAUAUGGUGAAAUUGUAUGAAUAAUUACAAGAUAUUAUGUGAAAUAAUAUCUUGCAAUUAAUAUGACAAUUAAUUCUAAUUUAAAUAGGAAAAUUGAGAGUUACCUUUUGAAUAAGGAUUUGAUGAGGAGUGAUGAGAGGGAUUUGAAUAAAUACCAUUUUGGUCACCUUUGCCUCUUCUUUGAUUGAGUCGUUACUGUCUGUUGCAUGCGCAUGGGAAUUCCGGUGUGCCUCGAGGGUAAUUUUAUCCUUUUCACCCAAAAGUCCAUGUGUCACCUCCAUAAUUUUCUUAAUUAUUUUUGGCUCCACAAGUGUCUCGAAUGGAAUAUACAAAUUUGAGAUGUAAAAGUCACAUUUAUAUUUCAUUUUAUAUUUACGGUAGGUGUAUAUAUUUAAUCCUACUCUAAUGCGAGGUAUGUAAAUUUGGAAUCUCAUUUAUUUUCUCCUUUUGAAUAGCAAGGUCUACCUCCAAAACAUAUUAAAUAAGAGACAUAAAUUUGCAUUUUUAUUUACAUCUUCCGGCGAAGAUGAAUGUUUUACACUUGAGAGCUUUCUGGCUAAUAAAAAAUGUAAAAUGCCAAUUCCAAGACAUUUUGCACCCCCAUUAGAAAUGCUCCAAGGAUGUUAUUAUAGAUACUUUAAAGGAGUAAUUAGGUUUUCAUCCUUAUUUUUACUACUCUAUUGAUUAAAACCUUAUUACUUUUCAAUUUUUG